CCUACGGGUGGCUGCAGUGAGGAAUAUUGGUCAAUGGACGCAAGUCUGAACCAGCCAUGCCGCGUGCAGGAAGACGGCUCUAUGAGUUGUAAACUGCUUUUGUACGAGGGUAAACGCAGAUACGCGUAUCUGUCUGAAAGUAUCGUACGAGUAAGGAUAGGCUAACUCCGUGCCAGCAGCCGCGGUAAUACGGAGGAUUCAAGCGUUACUCGGAUUUAGUGGGUGUAAAGGGGACGCAGGCGGUCGGAUAAGUUAGAGGUGAAAUCCCGUGGCUCAACUUCGGAAUUGCCUUUGAUACUGUUAGGCUAGAGAGUAGUUGCGGUAGGCGGAAUGUAAGGUGUAGCGGUGAAAUGCUUAGAGAUCAGACAGAACACCGAUGGCGAAGGCAGCUUACCAAGCUACGUCUGACGUUGAGGCACGAAAGCGUGGGGAGCAAACAGGAUUAGAUACCCCAGUAGUC
This 460-nucleotide ribosomal RNA is filed under the name uncultured bacterium. Its description in RNAcentral is "partial 16S ribosomal RNA". It matches the Rfam family "Bacterial small subunit ribosomal RNA", at positions 338 to 795 of the family's 1533-position model. The record is from RNAcentral.